RNAcentral lists this ribosomal RNA (271 nucleotides) under uncultured Eubacteriales bacterium. RNAcentral describes it as "uncultured Clostridiales bacterium partial 16S ribosomal RNA". It matches the Rfam family "Bacterial small subunit ribosomal RNA", at positions 71 to 339 of the family's 1533-position model. The record is from RNAcentral. Lineage: Bacteria; Bacillati; Bacillota; Clostridia; Eubacteriales.
AUGAGGAGCUUGCUCUUCAAAUCGAGUGGCGAACGGGUGAGUAACGCGUGAGGAACCUGCCUUUCAGAGGGGGACAACAGUUGGAAACGACUGCUAAUACCGCAUAUGCCAUAACUACCGCAUGGUAGAAGUGGGAAAGGAGCAAUCCGCUGAUAGAUGGCCUUGCGUCUGAUUAGUUAGUUGGUGGGGUAACGGCCUACCAAGGCGACGAUCAGUAGCCGACCUGAGAGGGUGACCGGCCACAUUGGGACUGAGACACGGCCCAAACUCC